GAUGAACGCUGGCGGCGUGCUUAACACAUGCAAGUCGAACGGGAAACCUUUUAUUGAAGCUUCGGCAGAUUUAGCUGGUUUCUAGUGGCGGACGGGUGAGUAACGCGUGGGUAACCUGCCUUAUACGGGGGGAUAACAACCAGAAAUGGUUGCUAAUACCGCAUAAGCGCACAGGACCGCGUGGUCCGGUGUGAAAAACUCCGGUGGUAUAAGAUGGACCCGCGUUGGAUUAGCUAGUUGGCAGGGUAACGGCCUACCAAGGCGACGAUCCAUAGCCGGCCUGAGAGGGUGAACGGCCACAUUGGGACUGAGACACGGCCCACACUCCUACGGGAGGCAGCAGUGGGGAAUAUUGCACAAUGGGGGAAACCCUGAUGCAGCGACGCCGCGUGAAGGAAGAAGUAUCUCGGUAUGUAAACUUCUAUCAGCAGGGAAGAUAGUGACGGUACCUGACUAAGAAGCCCCGGCUAACUACGUGCCAGCAGCCGCGGUAAUACGUAGGGGGCAAGCGUUAUCCGGAUUUACUGGGUGUAAAGGGAGCGUAGACGGACUGGCAAGUCUGAUGUGAAAGGCGGGGGCUCAACCCCUGGACUGCAUUGGAAACUGUUAGUCUUGAGUGCCGGAGAGGUAAGCGGAAUUCCUAGUGUAGCGGUGAAAUGCGUAGAUAUUAGGAGGAACACCAGUGGCGAAGGCGGCUUACUGGACGGUAACUGACGUUGAGGCUCGAAAGCGUGGGGAGCAAACAGGAUUAGAUACCCUGGUAGUCCACGCCGUAAACGA
Molecule: ribosomal RNA, 780 nt
Filed under: uncultured bacterium
Lineage: Bacteria
Description: bacterial SSU rRNA
Rfam family: Bacterial small subunit ribosomal RNA
Source: RNAcentral